GAUGAACGCUGGCGGCGUGCCUAAUACAUGCAAGUCGAGCGAACAGACGAGGAGCUUGCUCCUCUGACGUUAGCGGCGGACGGGUGAGUAACACGUGGAUAACCUACCUAUAAGACUGGGAUAACUUCGGGAAACCGGAGCUAAUACCGGAUAAUAUAUUGAACCGCAUGGUUCAAUAGUGAAAGACGGUUUUGCUGUCACUUAUAGAUGGAUCCGCGCCGCAUUAGCUAGUUGGUAAGGUAACGGCUUACCAAGGCAACGAUGCGUAGCCGACCUGAGAGGGUGAUCGGCCACACUAGAACUGGGACGCGGACCAGGCUCCUACGGGAGGCAGCAGUAGGGAAUCUUCCGCAGUGGGCGGAAGCUUGACGGAGCAACGCCGCGUGAGUGAUGAAGGUCUUCGGAUCGUAAAACUCUGUUAUUAGGGAAGAACAAAUGUGUAAGUAACUAUGCACGUCUUGACGGUACCUAAUCAGAAAGCCACGGCUAACUACGUG
This 497-nucleotide ribosomal RNA is filed under the name uncultured bacterium. Its description in RNAcentral is "partial 16S ribosomal RNA". It matches the Rfam family "Bacterial small subunit ribosomal RNA", at positions 28 to 507 of the family's 1533-position model. The record is from RNAcentral.